GAUGAACGCUGACAGAAUGCUUAACACAUGCAAGUCAACUUGAACUUCGGUUUGGGUGGCGGACGGGUGAGUAACGCGUAAAGAACUUGCCUCACAGAUAGGGACAACAUUUGGAAACGAAUGCUAAUACCUGAUAUUAUGAUUAUAUGGCAUCGUAUAAUUAUGAAAGCUAUAUGCGCUGUGAGAGAGCUUUGCGUCCCAUUAGCUAGUUGGAGAGGUAACGGCUCACCAAGGCGAUGAUGGGUAGCCGGCCUGAGAGGGUGAUCGGCCACAAGGGGACUGAGACACGGCCCUUACUCCUACGGGAGGCAGCAGUGGGGAAUAUUGGACAAUGGACCAAGAGUCUGAUCCAGCAAUUCUGUGUGCACGAUGAAGUUUUUCGGAAUGUAAAGUGCUUUCAGUUGGGAAGAAAAAAAUGACGGUACCAACAGAAGAAGUGACAGCUAAAUACGUG
This 454-nucleotide ribosomal RNA is filed under the name uncultured bacterium. RNAcentral describes it as "partial 16S ribosomal RNA". It matches the Rfam family "Bacterial small subunit ribosomal RNA", at positions 28 to 507 of the family's 1533-position model. The record is from RNAcentral.